This is a long non-coding RNA of Glossina fuscipes, 1297 nucleotides long. RefSeq lists it as uncharacterized. The transcript is spliced from 5 exons. NCBI's taxonomy places the organism in Eukaryota, Metazoa, Arthropoda, Insecta, Diptera, Glossinidae. The record is from RefSeq and is a predicted model, not a curated record.
GCAACACCUCAAGUGCCAACUAAGUAAAGAAUCUUCCCUCAGAAAAUUCAUAAACGAUUAAUGCUAAGCAUUUCACCGAAAUGAGAAAAAUCUGAAUAAGAGAAAAUGUUUACUCAAACGCUGCUAAUGCAGAGGUCAAUUUACGGUUCUGGUUAUCGAAUUAUCGUACGAUAUGCUCGUUUUUUGGGUUGAUGGUACUCGAUUGUUUUCGUAUCGAUUUCGCGCUCGUUACAAUUCUAACGGAGUAUUUGUGAUAUCGUCAGUGUAUAUAUAAUAAAAUAAUGCACAGAAAAGAAAAAAAGCAUAAAAAAAGGAUCUAGUCAUAUUAUUGUUAUGACUGCGCACACGUCUGCAUAGAGCAGCGACUGCGGAUGAAAGUCAUGCGAAUGUCCAUAGAGGAAUAAGAGAAUAACAGUAACCAUCUUUACUUGCCACCGAGAGGCAAGCGAGAAAAAAAUCUACAUCGAAAAUCAGAAUAACAACUUUAAAAAGAUUGAUGAAUAAUUUAGGAACCAUGUAAAAUUAAUUUUAUUACAUUGAAUUAAGUGAGCAGUUCCUUUUUAAAGUGGUAUGCUAGCUCGCGUGCGUCUUAAGAGAUGAAAAGAAAAAACUCGUGCCGUUUCAUCCAAAGAAGUAAUCAUAUCUAAUGAACUUAGGAAAGCUAGAGAAAUGUAGAGAACUCAAAACGAAAAUUUUACGACGCUAUGCAGGUUGUGGGAAAAUUCCGUAGCGCCGAAACAGUAAGAUUUUGUUGCAGUAGGGCAGUGUGAGCUGCGUAUUGAACUUGGUUAAUGUAUUGCACCACUGUCGCGAUGCAAAAUGUAAAUGCAAUCAUUGUAUUCAGCGCUUUCGUUCCGAAUUGUUGAUCCCAUAUCGUUAUCAACAAUUUGACACCACAAGUCUAAAAGAAAAACAUGAUAGUGCGAUUUUAUCUUCCAAUAUUUGAAUGUUUAGUGAUAUUGGAUAAAAUUUAUGUUAAAGUGGUAUUUCAUUUUCAGAAGGUUUGAAGACAUACCCCAUUUAAUAUAGUCUCCCACUUGUCUGUCCGUAUAAAUUCUGAUCAUGUAUUCUUGCAUUCCAGCUACAGGUCGCAAUUUUUGAGGUUUUUUUGAUGAAAUGUGAUACACUGACGUGUUUUGAUUCAACAAUGAACACUGUUGGAAACGGUUCGCAUCGGUCCCCUUUUUUGACCACUCCCCGUAUUUUGAAAAGUCGCAAUAAUUCUUGCUAUGUAAUAGCACUUCGACAUUCCAAAUUGGUAUGAAAAAUUUGGUUCCGCUGAGGCAAUUUUUUGAAC